RNAcentral lists this ribosomal RNA (396 nucleotides) under uncultured bacterium. RNAcentral's name for it is "bacterial SSU rRNA". It matches the Rfam family "Bacterial small subunit ribosomal RNA", at positions 358 to 771 of the family's 1533-position model. The record is from RNAcentral.
GGAAUAUUGGACAAUGGGCGCAAGCCUGAUCCAGCCAUGCCGCGUGAGUGAUGAAGGCCUUAGGGUUGUAAAGCUCUUUCAGUGGGGAAGAUAAUGACGGUACCCACAGAAGAAGCCCCGGCUAACUUCGUGCCAGCAGCCGCGGUAAUACGAAGGGGGCUAGCGUUGUUCGGAUUUACUGGGCGUAAAGCGCACGUAGGCGGUUUGUUAAGUCAGAGGUGAAAUCCCACAGCUCAACUGUGGAACUGCCUUUGAUACUGGCAAGCUAGAGUCCGGAAGAGGUAAGUGGAACUCCUAGUGUAGAGGUGGAAUUCGUAGAUAUUAGGAAGAACACCAGUGGCGAAGGCGGCUUCCUGGACCGACACUGACGCUGAGGCGCGAAAGCUAGGGGAGCAA